Oncorhynchus keta (chum salmon) is the source of this 959-nucleotide long non-coding RNA. RefSeq lists it as uncharacterized. Lineage: Eukaryota; Metazoa; Chordata; Actinopteri; Salmoniformes; Salmonidae. The record is from RefSeq and is a predicted model, not a curated record. The transcript is spliced from 2 exons.
AUAUUUUCUUGAGCAAAAUUACCUAGGAAAAUAAGCAAAAAAAUCUGCCAGUGAUGUGCAUUGAUUGGUGUAAUAUUCCUCAUCUUAUGAUUUCAGAUGGUCUGCAAUGCUGACUGUGUGAUCAGCAAUGUUGUGGCAAAAUGGCCUGGCUCAGUCCAUGACUCCAGAAUCUUUCGGGCCUCUGAAAUCUAUCAGUGCCUAUCACAAGGUGAAUUCUCUGGUGUGUUGCUGGGAGACAGGGGUAUGGCUGCCAGCCUUUUCUCCUGACACCUUUCACAGACCCCCAGGAAGCACAGCAGGCCUACAACCAUGCCCAUGCCAGGACCAGGGCCAGAGUUGAAAUGACCUUUGGCCUCCUGAAGGCACGCUUUCACUGCCUUCACAAAUUAAGGGUCAGCCCUGUUAGGGCAUGUGAUAUUACUGUGGCUUGUGCUGUCCUCCACAAUGUGGCCUGCCUGAGGAAGGAGAGGGCCCCCAGAGUGCCACCAGCCAUGGACUGGGACAAUCCGGCAAUCUUCCCUGAUGACGACAGUGGUCGGCUGCUGAGGGACCAAUAUGUGUUGAAUUAUUUUAGUUAGUAUGUGUGCUUUCAAUUUUGGUUAAAUAUGUCCUGCGGUGGCAGAGGAAUUUGGUUUUUUUUGGGUUUGUUUUUUUACGAAUUUGGCCUCUUAUGAUGUUUGUGCGGUAUACUGUGUGUAAUACAAGGCUGCAGGGAGGCUACUGCAUCCAUUCAUUUGUCUGUUCAGUUGAUGUGUAUGGAUUUGUCCUGCAUUUAUUUUAGUGUGCAGACAUGCAGGGUGUGUUAUAUACAGACCUUUGAAUGUGUAUGUAUCAUUUUGUAUAAUAUGCUUGGAUUCUGUGCUUUCCAUCUUGUAGUGUCACUGUGACUUCAGUUUCGAAAGGAGCUGAUGGUUUACCUGCUUUGUUUUGUCCUUAUUCAAUAAAGGAACAUAAUGUUA